CACAGGUUUGGUCCUAGCCUUUCCAUUUAUUUUUAAUAAAAUUACACAUGCAAGUAUCCGCACCCCAGUGAGAAUGCCCUCUAAAUCUCAGAGAUUAAAAGGAGCAGGUAUCAAGCACACCCCAUCGGUAGCUCACAACGCCUUGCUCAACCACACCCCCACGGGAUACAGCAGUGAUAGAAAUUAAGCUAUGAACGAAAGUUCGACUAAGUUAUGUUAAAUAGAGUUGGUAAAUAUCGUGCCAGCCACCGCGGUCAUACGAUUAACCCAAAUAAAUAGAAUUACGGCGUAAAGAGUGUCUAAGAAAAACCCCACAAUAGAGCUAAAUUUCAACUAAGCUGUAAAAAGCCAUAGAUGAAAAACAAAUAAACUACGAAAGUAGCUCUAAUAUCUCCAAUACACGAUAGCUAGGACUCAAACUGGGAUUAGAUACCCCACUAUGCCUAGCCCUAAACCUAAAUAAUCAACCAACAAGAUUAUUCGCCAGAGUACUACUAGCAACAGCCUAAAACUCAAAGGACUUGACGGUGCUUCAUAUCCAUCUAGAGGAGCCUGUUCUAUAAUUGAUAAACCCCGAUAAACCUCACCAACCCUUGCCAGAUCAGCCUAUAUACCGCCAUCUUCAGCAAACCCUAAAAAGGAACAACAGUAAGCACAACUAUAAUCUAUAAAAACGUUAGGUCAAGGUGUAGCCUAUGGGUUGGGAAGAAAUGGGCUACAUUUUCUAUAUAAGAAUACUUACGAAAAUUCUUAUGAAACUAAGAAUUAAAGGAGGAUUUAGCAGUAAAUUAAGAAUAGAGUGCUUAAUUGAAUAAGGCCACAAAGCACGCACACACCGCCCGUCACCCUCCUCAAGUAAACGUAACAUGCAAAACCUAUUACAAAUAUAACCACACAAGAGGAGACAAGUCGUAACAAGGUAAGCAUACUGGAAAGUGUGCUUGGAUAACC
This 951-nucleotide non-coding RNA is filed under the name Dicotyles tajacu (collared peccary). Its description in RNAcentral is "Pecari tajacu (collared peccary) partial 12S ribosomal RNA". It matches the Rfam family "Bacterial small subunit ribosomal RNA". Lineage: Eukaryota; Metazoa; Chordata; Mammalia; Artiodactyla; Tayassuidae. The record is from RNAcentral.